GGCCUCGUGGCCUAAUGGCAUGGCGUCAGAUUUCGGUUAUUCCCAAACAAUAAUUGCAUUCUCUGAAGAUUGUCGGUUCGAAUCCGGCCGAGGUCG
Molecule: non-coding RNA, 96 nt
Organism: Xylaria curta
Lineage: Eukaryota; Fungi; Ascomycota; Sordariomycetes; Xylariales; Xylariaceae
Source: the annotation of a GenBank genome assembly